This is a non-coding RNA of Schizosaccharomyces pombe (fission yeast), 1079 nucleotides long. NCBI's taxonomy places the organism in Eukaryota, Fungi, Ascomycota, Schizosaccharomycetes, Schizosaccharomycetales, Schizosaccharomycetaceae. The record is from the annotation of a GenBank genome assembly.
AUAUAAUACCAAAGAGGUGAACUGAACAGAUUUUUCCUUACAUAAUAUAACUGAGAUUCCUUUGGCCAUCGCAGCUAAAACUUGAUGAUGAGACAAUUCACCAGUAAAGUAAAGAUCUGCAUCCGUAUUCAUAACCACAGAUCCACCAGAACCUGCACAUAAAGAAACCUUGGAAAUAUGAGAAUCUAAUCCGUUAGGUGCACACACUUGGACUACAAUCAAAUAGGUUAACAAUAUUAACAAUAAAGAUAAAAAGAAGCUCACCAUAUUGCAAGCCGGUUAACUCCUUAGCCCUUUGGACCAAUUCACGCAAGGUUGUAGGAAUCUUCAGUUCGCAAAUUCGACCGUAACCUUCUGCCUCAGCCAUGACAGAAUUUUGCUGAGUUGGGACCACGCUUUUAAUGUUGUUUCGUCCUCCAGCUAUACCUUGGGCCAGCCAGUCAUUUACUCCAUCAACAGCAGCAUCAACGGCUGUAUGAGGCGAGUAAACGUGAAUUCCUUCAGCAGCAAGUUUUAAAAGGCUUCUUUGUUGGGGAUCCUCCAUCGUGAUGGCUUUAAGCCCACGAAAGAUAAUGGGGUCUAGUUGUGAGUAAGUUGUGUAAACAAUAAAAGUAGAAGGUUAACCGCCAUACGAUAUGCUACAAUAGAUGAUACAAGUUUAUUUGAAAUAGCUUCUUCAGCAACUUUCUCAGUCAAGUCAAUCGUCAAAAGUACGGAACUUGCAUUUGUUCUUGGGAAAGGAGCCUCAAGCAGAAGCCCAGUGUUGUCCCAAGAAUCCGCCAAUUUUGGAUUAUAGAUGGACUCAACUACUUUUUUUAAUUUGGAAGAAAUAUUUGCCUUAGACAUAUUUGGGGAAAGAUACCAUUAAACGCAGUGAUUCCUGAACGACCGUAAGACCACGUUUACGACAACACUUAGUCCUAGGAUAUGCUUUCUCAAAUCUGCUAAAUUCUGUAGAGCAUGAAGGAAUUCUAGCAACGCGUAGCAAUACACAAUUUUAACUAUGCAGUCCUGCGUAUCGGUAAAAAAAUAUUGAACUGCAUAGCGAGCAUUAAAAAACGAUUAGGUAGUACUUUAUU